This 139-nucleotide small nucleolar RNA is filed under the name Salix viminalis (osier). It matches the Rfam family "Small nucleolar RNA Z247". From Rfam's summary of the family: Z247 is a member of the C/D class of snoRNA which contain the C (UGAUGA) and D (CUGA) box motifs. Most of the members of the box C/D family function in directing site-specific 2'-O-methylation of substrate RNAs. The record is from RNAcentral. Lineage: Eukaryota; Viridiplantae; Streptophyta; Magnoliopsida; Malpighiales; Salicaceae.
CCACUAAAUCAUGAUGAUAUUAUCACUUAUUUGCUUGCAGGUCUCAGCCACGAGUAUGAUAGUCUUGUGGCUUCCAUCUCAGCAUGCACUGAUGACAUUACACUGGAAGAGAUCUACUCCUUGCUACUGACUUUUGAGG